This 710-nucleotide ribosomal RNA is filed under the name uncultured bacterium. RNAcentral describes it as "bacterial SSU rRNA". It matches the Rfam family "Bacterial small subunit ribosomal RNA", at positions 94 to 823 of the family's 1533-position model. The record is from RNAcentral.
AGCGGCGGACGGGUGAGUAACGCGUGGGUAACCUGCCCUAUACACACGGAUAACAUACCGAAAGGUAUGCUAAUACGAGAUAAUAUAAGAGAUUCACAUGGAUUUCUUAUCAAAGCUGAGGCGGUAUAGGAUGGACCCGCGUCUGAUUAGCUAGUUGGUAAGGUAACGGCUUACCAAGGCGACGAUCAGUAGCCGACCUGAGAGGGUGAUCGGCCACAUUGGAACUGAGACACGGUCCAAACUCCUACGGGAGGCAGCAGUGGGGAAUAUUGCACAAUGGGCGAAAGCCUGAUGCAGCAACGCCGCGUGAGUGAUGAAGGCCUUCGGGUCGUAAAACUCUGUCCUCAAGGAAGAUAAUGACGGUACUUGAGGAGGAAGCCCCGGCUAACUACGUGCCAGCAGCCGCGGUAAUACGUAGGGGGCUAGCGUUAUCCGGAUUUACUGGGCGUAAAGGGUGCGUAGGUGGUCUCUUAAGUCAGGAGUGAAAGGCUACGGCUUAACCGUAGUAAGCUCUUGAAACUGGGAGACUUGAGUGCAGGAGAGGAAAGUGGAAUUCCUAGUGUAGCGGUGAAAUGCGUAGAUAUUAGGAGGAACACCAGUAGCGAAGGCGGCUUUCUGGACUGUAACUGACACUGAGGCACGAAAGCGUGGGGAGCAAACAGGAUUAGAUACCCUGGUAGUCCACGCCGUAAACGAUGAGUACUAGGUGU